RNAcentral lists this ribosomal RNA (613 nucleotides) under uncultured bacterium. RNAcentral describes it as "bacterial SSU rRNA". It matches the Rfam family "Bacterial small subunit ribosomal RNA", at positions 1 to 611 of the family's 1533-position model. The record is from RNAcentral.
AGGGGUUUGAUCAUGGGGCUCAGCAUUGAACGCUGGCGGCAGGCUUAACACAUGCAAGUCGAGCGGGGAGAUGUAGCUUGCUACAUUUCCUAGCGGCGGACGGGUGAGUAAUGCUUAGGAAUCUGCCUAUUAGUGGGGGACAACAUUCCGAAAGGAAUGCUAAUACCGCAUACGCCCUACGGGGGAAAGCAGGGGAUCUUCGGACCUUGCGCUAAUAGAUGAGCCUAAGUCAGAUUAGCUAGUUGGUGGGGUAAAGGCCUACCAAGGCGACGAUCUGUAGCGGGUCUGAGAGGAUGAUCCGCCACACUGGGACUGAGACACGGCCCAGACUCCUACGGGAGGCAGCAGUGGGGAAUAUUGGACAAUGGGCGCAAGCCUGAUCCAGCCAUGCCGCGUGUGUGAAGAAGGCCUUUUGGUUGUAAAGCACUUUAAGCGAGGAGGAGGCUACUUGGAUUAAUACUCUAGGAUAGUGGACGUUACUCGCAGAAUAAGCACCGGCUAACUCUGUGCCAGCAGCCGCGGUAAUACAGAGGGUGCGAGCGUUAAUCGGAUUUACUGGGCGUAAAGCGUGCGUAGGCGGCUUCUUAAGCCGGAUGUGAAAUCCCUGAGCUUU